This is a long non-coding RNA of Agrilus planipennis (emerald ash borer), 444 nucleotides long. RefSeq lists it as uncharacterized. The record is from RefSeq and is a predicted model, not a curated record. The transcript has 2 exons. NCBI's taxonomy places the organism in Eukaryota, Metazoa, Arthropoda, Insecta, Coleoptera, Buprestidae.
CCUAAUUUUUCAAACGGUAGACAUUAAAUUUUAAAUUUUAAUAUGCGGUACACCAUUAUAACUUCAUAACAGGACAUGCUUUUAUAUCAUUAACCUUGAUAAGAUGAUAAGCAAGAUUUAUCGGUCAUAGGUACAAGUCCGUUAGUCCUUCUCGGUUUGUCAUUCAUUUAAAGUUCAAUCUUUGAACACCACGCACAGUAUAUAGUUCUACCUACGUUAACUAUUGUAAUUUUAUUACUUCCCAUACACAAGAUAAAGAACAACUAGCUAUAAUGGCUUCGACAAACCAGUCUGAAAGCGUUGCUGCUACAGCCUCACCUGCCCCCGCUGGCAACGAUGGAAUUACAAUUGAAUCGGUCAACAGAAUUUCAAAAAUUCCUGUAGUCGAAUCUACCAUACAAACGGCUACAACUAUUUACGAAAAAAUAAAGGUAAAUAAUAAUU